GUAAGGAAUAUUGGUCAAUGGGCGCAAGCCUGAACCAGCCAUGCCGCGUGCAGGAAGACGGCCCUAUGGGUUGUAAACUGCUUUUAUACGGGAAUAAACCUCCUUACGUGUAGGGAGCUGAAUGUACUGUAAGAAUAAGGAUCGGCUAACUCCGUGCCAGCAGCCGCGGUAAUACGGAGGAUCCAAGCGUUAUCCGGAUUUAUUGGGUUUAAAGGGUGCGUAGGCGGCUUAUUAAGUCAGGGGUGAAAGACGGUGGCUCAACCAUCGCAGUGCCUUUGAUACUGAUGAGCUUGAAUUUACCUGAGGUAGGCGGAAUGUGACAAGUAGCGGUGAAAUGCAUAGAUAUGUCACAGAACACCAAUUGCGAAGGCAGCUUACUAAAGUAGUAUUGACGCUGAGGCACGAAAGCGUGGGGAUCAAACAGGAUUAGAUACCCCAGUAGUCC
Molecule: ribosomal RNA, 445 nt
Filed under: uncultured bacterium
Lineage: Bacteria
Description: bacterial SSU rRNA
Rfam family: Bacterial small subunit ribosomal RNA
Source: RNAcentral